AUGGUAGGAUAGAGGCCUACCAUGGUGGUAACGGGUAACGGGGUGUUAGGGCACGACACCGGAGAGGGAGCCNGAGAAACGGCUACCACAUCCAAGGAUGGCAGCAGGCGCGCAAAUUACCCAAUCCCGACACGGGGAGGUAGUGACAAUAAAUAACAAUACGGGGUUCUUUCGGAUCUCGUAAUUGGAAUGAGUACAAUUUAAAUCUCUUAACGAGGAACAAUUGGAGGGCAAGUCUGGUGCCAGCAGCCGCGGUAAUUCCGGCUCCAAUAGCGUAUAUUAAAGUUGUUGCAGUUAAAAAGCUCGUAGUUGAAUUUCGGGGUUAGUAGGUUGGUNANNNNNCUGGUAUGUACUGGUCUCACUGAUUCCUCCUUCCUUAUGAACCGUAAUGCCAUUAAUUUGGUGUUGCGGGGAAUUUGGACUGUUACUUUGAAAAAAUUAGAGUGUUUAAAGCAAGCUAACGCUUGAAUACAUUAGCAUGGAAUAAUGAAAUAGGACGUUCGAUCUUAUUUUGUUGGUUUCUAGGAUUGACGUAAUGAUUAAUAGGGAUAGUUGGGGGCAUUAGUAUUCAAUUGUCAGAGGUGAAAUUCUUGGAUUUAUUGAAGACUAACUACUGCGAAGGCAUUUGCCAAGGAUGUUUUCAUUAAUCAAGAACGAAAGUUAGGGGAUCGAAGACGAUCAGAUACCGUCGUAGUCUUAACCAUAAACUAUGCCGACUAGGGAUCGG
Molecule: ribosomal RNA, 727 nt
Filed under: uncultured fungus
Lineage: Eukaryota; Fungi
Description: SSU rRNA
Rfam family: Eukaryotic small subunit ribosomal RNA
Source: RNAcentral